CCUACGGGAGGCAGCAGUGGGGAAUAUUGGACAAUGGGGGCAACCCUGAUCCAGCCAUGCCGCGUGUGUGAAGAAGGCCCUCGGGUUGUAAAGCACUUUCAGUGAGGAAGAACGCCUGGUGGUUAAUACCCAUCAGGAAAGACAUCACUCACAGAAGAAGCACCGGCUAACUCCGUGCCAGCAGCCGCGGUAAUACGGAGGGUGCGAGCGUUAAUCGGAAUUACUGGGCGUAAAGCGCGCGUAGGUGGCUUGAUAAGCCGGUUGUGAAAGCCCCGGGCUCAACCUGGGAACGGCAUCCGGAACUGUCAAGCUAGAGAGCAGGAGAGGAAGGUAGAAUUCCCGGUGUAGCGGUGAAAUGCGUAGAGAUCGGGAGGAAUACCAGUGGCGAAGGCGGCCUUCUGGACUGACACUGACACUGAGGUGCGAAAGCGUGGGUAGCAAACAGGAUUAGAUACACGGGUAGUC
RNAcentral lists this ribosomal RNA (465 nucleotides) under Vreelandella stevensii. RNAcentral's name for it is "partial 16S ribosomal RNA". It matches the Rfam family "Bacterial small subunit ribosomal RNA", at positions 338 to 795 of the family's 1533-position model. Lineage: Bacteria; Pseudomonadati; Pseudomonadota; Gammaproteobacteria; Oceanospirillales; Halomonadaceae. The record is from RNAcentral.